This 233-nucleotide unclassified non-coding RNA is filed under the name plant metagenome. RNAcentral's name for it is "partial contains small subunit ribosomal RNA and internal transcribed spacer 1". The record is from RNAcentral.
AAGUCGUAACAAGGUCAUCCGUUGGUGGAACCAGCGGAGGGACAUCGAUUGCUGGAAGCGGCGCCCCAGGCGCACCCAGAAACCCUUUGUGAACUUAUACCUUACUGUUGCCUCGGCGCUAGCUGGUCCUUCGGGGCCCCUCACCCUCGGGUGUUUGAGACAGCCCGCCGGCGGCCAACCCAACUCUUGUUUUUACACUGAAACUCUGAGAAUAAAACAUAAAUGAAUCAAGA